RNAcentral lists this ribosomal RNA (264 nucleotides) under uncultured bacterium. RNAcentral's name for it is "partial 16S ribosomal RNA". It matches the Rfam family "Bacterial small subunit ribosomal RNA", at positions 793 to 1055 of the family's 1533-position model. The record is from RNAcentral.
GUCCACGCCGUAAACGAUGAAUACUAGGUGUCGGGGAGCACAGCUCUUCGGUGCCGCCGCAAACGCAUUAAGUAUUCCACCUGGGGAGUACGUUCGCAAGAAUGAAACUCAAAGGAAUUGACGGGGGACCCGCACAAGCGGUGGAGCAUGUGGUUUAAUUCGAAGCAACGCGAAGAACCUUACCAAGUCUUGACAUCUGCCUGACCGGUGAGCAACGUCACCUUUCCUUCGGGACAGGCAAGACAGGUGGUGCAUGGUUGUCGU